Molecule: long non-coding RNA, 123 nt
Filed under: Mustela putorius furo (domestic ferret)
Lineage: Eukaryota; Metazoa; Chordata; Mammalia; Carnivora; Mustelidae
Description: lncRNA (ENSMPUG00000027227.1)
Source: RNAcentral
UUUGGAUGUGAAGUGCCAGGAAGAAGAAGAGGGAACCAGAGUCGAGUAGUUUUAAAAUCCUUCAAGUGAAAAAGGAGAUUAUUUCCCGUUGCGAUCUCUUCAACUUUUCCUCUUUGACCCGGG